GAUCCUGGCUCAGGAUGAACGCUAGCGACAGGCUUAACACAUGCAAGUCGAGGGGCAGCAUGAACUUAGCUUGCUAAGUUUGAUGGCGACCGGCGCACGGGUGAGUAACGCGUAUGCAACUUGCCUAUCAGAGGAGAAUAGCUCAUCGAAAGAUGAAUUAAUGCUCCAUAAAACAGGGGUCCCGGCCAUGGGAAGUAUUUGUUUAAAGGUAAUUCUAUCGCUGAUAGAA
Molecule: ribosomal RNA, 229 nt
Filed under: uncultured bacterium
Lineage: Bacteria
Description: partial 16S ribosomal RNA
Rfam family: Bacterial small subunit ribosomal RNA
Source: RNAcentral